Molecule: ribosomal RNA, 468 nt
Filed under: uncultured bacterium
Lineage: Bacteria
Description: partial 16S ribosomal RNA
Rfam family: Bacterial small subunit ribosomal RNA
Source: RNAcentral
GACGAACGCUGGCGGCGUGCUUAACACAUGCAAGUCGAACGGAAAGGCCCUGCUUUUGUGGGGUGCUCGAGUGGCGAACGGGUGAGUAACACGUGAGUAACCUGCCCUUGACUUUGGGGUAACUUCAGGAAACUGGGGCUAAUACCGGAUAGGAGCUCCUGCUGCAUGGUGGGGGUUGGAAAGUUUCGGCGGUUGGGGAUGGACUCGCGGCUUAUCAGCUUGUUGGUGGGGUAGUGGCUUACCAAGGCUUUGACGGGUAGCCGGCCUGAGAGGGUGACCGGCCACAUUGGGACUGAGAUACGGCCGAGACUCCUACGGGAGGCAGCAGUGGGGAAUAUUGCACAAUGGGCGGAAGCCUGAUGCAGCAACGCCGCGUGCGGGAUGACGGCCUUCGGGUUGUAAACCGCUUGCGCCUGUGACGAAGCGUGAGUGACGGUAAUGGGUAAAGAAGCACCGGCUAACUACGUG